RNAcentral lists this transfer RNA (75 nucleotides) under bacterium. RNAcentral's name for it is "tRNA-Glu". It matches the Rfam family "tRNA". Rfam says of the family: Transfer RNA (tRNA) molecules are approximately 80 nucleotides in length. The record is from RNAcentral.
GGUCCCAUCGUCUAGUGGUUAGGACAUCAGGUUUUCAUCCUGAAAAGAGGGGUUCGAUUCCCCUUGGGACUACCA